GAUGAAGAACGUAGCGAAAUGCGAUACUUGGUGUGAAUUGCAGAAUCCCGUGAACCAUCGAGUCUUUGAACGCAAGUUGCGCCCGAAGCCAUUAGGCCGAGGGCACGCCUGCCUGGGCGUCACACGUCGUUGCCCCCCCCAUCUACUCCUUCGGGAUUGCGGGGGGCGGAUGAUGGCCUCCCGUGCGCCUCGCCGCGCGGUUGGCAUAAAUGCCAAGUCCUCGGCGACGCACGCCACGACAAUCGGUGGUUGCGAAACCUCGGUUGCCCGUUGUGUGCGGUCGUCGCGCAUCGAGGGCUCGAAAAAAUUGCCGGGCUCCGGCUCGACUUUCAACGCGACCCCAGGUCAGGCGGGGUUACCCGCUGAAUUUAAGCAUAUCAAUAAGCGGAGGA
RNAcentral lists this unclassified non-coding RNA (392 nucleotides) under soil metagenome. RNAcentral's name for it is "partial contains 5.8S ribosomal RNA, internal transcribed spacer 2, and large subunit ribosomal RNA". The stretch from base 1 to 122 matches the Rfam family "5.8S ribosomal RNA", at positions 35 to 154 of the family's 154-position model. The record is from RNAcentral.